This 653-nucleotide non-coding RNA is filed under the name Erythrocladia irregularis. The record is from RNAcentral. Lineage: Eukaryota; Rhodophyta; Compsopogonophyceae; Erythropeltidales; Erythrotrichiaceae.
GAGGAAAGUCUGGGCUUAUGAACAAAAAUGGUUGCAGGAUAAUCUCCCGUACAAGUAAUUGUGAGGAAAGUGCCACAGAAAAAAAUACCACUAAAUGUUUAGUAAGGGUGCAAUGGUGUGUGUAAAGUGCUUGAAGUUGUUUAUAUCAUCUUUUCUGAUUCUAUUUGUAUAGAGAAGAACAAUAAGGUCAAUAGAAUUUGAAUUUUUUGAAAUUAUAAAAUUUGUAUAAUAACAUUAUGUUUUUAUCUAAACACUCGAUAACAAACAGUUUUUUAUUUUAAAUACAAUUUUUGUCUAAACCUAAGUUGUUUCAACCAUGAAGGACUAAUUUGCACAUGUUUGAUCACUAAUUGAUAAGUAUACUCUUUGUUGGUCAUACUGAAUGUAUAUUGUUUGAGCGUGAAGCAUAUAAAUAUGUACCUCACUUUCUUGGAAAAGCAAAUCUUUAAUCUGUUAAGAGCAUACCAGAAACAUUGUAAGAUGUUUGCUAGGUAAACCCCGACAGUAAGCAAAUCCACUAUUUAAUUUUAUUUGUUUACGAUAGUGAUUUAUUAAAUGCAUAAAGUUAUUAUGAAUUGUAACUUAAGAUAAAUAAUCAUCCUUUUAGGGUAGCAUCACCAAGUUGUUACUUAAAAGAACAAAACCCGGCUUAA